AUAAAACCUAAAGGCGCAUUGAAAGAGAAAAUCGACCUUGCGUCGAUCGAGGGAGGAUGAGCGUUGCUUUUGCAUCGCUCCGCACUCCCGGGGCGUCUCGUUGUCAUUGCGACAUGAGGCGCACCUAGAGCGUACACGUUGGGACCCGAAAGAUGGUGAACUAUGCCUGGUCAGGAUGAAGUCAGGGGAAACUCUGAUGGAGGUCCGUAGCGAUUCUGACGUGCAAAUCGAUCGUCGGAACUGGGUAU
This 248-nucleotide ribosomal RNA is filed under the name Tiphodytes gerriphagus. RNAcentral's name for it is "partial 28S ribosomal RNA". It matches the Rfam family "Eukaryotic large subunit ribosomal RNA", at positions 701 to 918 of the family's 3401-position model. The record is from RNAcentral. Lineage: Eukaryota; Metazoa; Arthropoda; Insecta; Hymenoptera; Scelionidae.